Molecule: ribosomal RNA, 490 nt
Filed under: uncultured bacterium
Lineage: Bacteria
Description: partial 16S ribosomal RNA
Rfam family: Bacterial small subunit ribosomal RNA
Source: RNAcentral
AUUGAACGCUGGCGGCAGGCCUAACACAUGCAAGUCGAACGGUAACAGGAAGCAGCUUGCUGCUUUGCUGACGAGUGGCGGACGGGUGAGUAAUGUCUGGGAAACUGCCUGAUGGAGGGGGAUAACUACUGGAAACGGUAGCUAAUACCGCAUAACGUCGCAAGACCAAAGAGGGGGACCUUAGGGCCUCUUGCCAUCGGAUGUGCCCAGAUGGGAUUAGCUAGUAGGUGGGGUAACGGCUCACCUAGGCGACGAUCCCUAGCUGGUCUGAGAGGAUGACCAGCCACACUGGAACUGAGACACGGUCCAGACUCCUACGGGAGGUAGCAGUGGGGAAUAUUGCACAAUGGGCGCAAGCCUGAUGCAGCCAUGCCGCGUGUAUGAAGAAGGCCUUCGGGUUGUAAAGUACUUUCAGCGGGGAGGAAGGGAGUAAAGUUAAUACCUUUGCUCAUUGACGUUACCCGCAGAAGAAGCACCGGCUAACUCCGUG